UUCGAGUAGCAGUACGAAUAGGAGUCUUGAGCAUGGCAUUUGGUAGCAAUUUCUCUCCCACGCACAGGAGAGGGAGACAAGGUGUAAGUCAAAUCAGUGCGAACAAAUCACAUUUCCUAUGAUCCUUGGUGUGUGGCGAAAUGUUGAGACGGAAAAAUCUUUUCCGAGACAUCGACAACCCCGCCUCACCGCUCCUCGCCCCGGUCCUCGCCACAUUGACCACAGCUUAUGACCAUCGGCUUUUCGCUGUCGAGGUGAAGUGUAUGCCGACCUAUGCCUCACAUGGUGCAUAGAGAUCGGCAUCGUGGUGUGGGGGAGGAGUCGUCGUGCCGCGUUUUCAUUACUCCUCGCGCAACCUCCUCUGCCCUCCCCUCCUCUCCCUUCCCCCCCAUUCUCAUAGCUUCAUUCGUAGCUCAUGUUCAUGCCAAAACUUCAAAGAUCCAUCAAAAGCUAUACAUGCUGUGUAUCUUAUUGUAUCUUAUAACUCUUAUACGUCUGGCAUGACGGCGCCCAAUAUUUUGGACACCCAUUCGCUGCGACCUAUGUGCCACAUCCCUUGUGUCACACCCUGCGCCGCUUCACCCACGUGCUCGUACUUCCUCUGCCCGGCCUCCACCACUAACACCACAACCACCGCCACCGCCACCCCCCCACACACUCACGUCCUCCCAGCCUCUGUACACCCCCUAACCGCCCUCAUAAGGCCCCCACCAGAUCGCCUCCCGUCACGGCAUCCAGUUGCCGCCACACCGCCCGGUGGAGAGAUACCAUCAAAAAGAGACCACCGGUGCCCCCGCUACUGCCGCUACCGCCACCGUGUGGUGCCGCGGGGUAGCUGCACACGAGGUUGGGACUCAGCCCUGGCGGGAUGACCGGGUUAAAGGCGAAGGGGGGCUCCGGGCC
This 903-nucleotide long non-coding RNA is filed under the name Volvox carteri. Its description in RNAcentral is "long non-coding RNA (VCAR_LNC002608)". Lineage: Eukaryota; Viridiplantae; Chlorophyta; Chlorophyceae; Chlamydomonadales; Volvocaceae. The record is from RNAcentral.